CGAUGCAUGGGAUGUGAUUUUUCUAAUAAUAUUUGAUCUUAGUUAUCUAUUUUAUUAUAUCUAUUCUAUAUAUAUUUUAAAAAUGAUUAAAAUAAUUAAAAUAAUUAUCUAACGAUCUUGAUUCCAUGAAGUCCCUUCCUAAAGAUGAAUUAGUUUCAACGGGAGUCCAUUUUGGAAAAGAUAUUUGCAAUAAAAGAGGAGG
Molecule: long non-coding RNA, 202 nt
Filed under: Elaeis guineensis (African oil palm)
Lineage: Eukaryota; Viridiplantae; Streptophyta; Magnoliopsida; Arecales; Arecaceae
Description: long non-coding RNA (EGUI_LNC026768)
Source: RNAcentral